RNAcentral lists this ribosomal RNA (253 nucleotides) under uncultured bacterium. RNAcentral describes it as "partial 16S ribosomal RNA". It matches the Rfam family "Bacterial small subunit ribosomal RNA", at positions 524 to 776 of the family's 1533-position model. The record is from RNAcentral.
UACGAAGGGGGCUAGCGUUGCUCGGAAUGACUGGGCGUAAAGGGCGCGUAGGCGGUUCGUACAGUCAGACGUGAAAUUCCCGGGCUCAACCUGGGGACUGCGUUUGAUACGUGCGGGCUUGAGUUCGGAAGAGGGUCGUGGAAUUCCCAGUGUAGAGGUGAAAUUCGUAGAUAUUGGGAAGAACACCGGUGGCGAAGGCGGCGACCUGGUCCGAUACUGACGCUGAGGAGCGAAAGCAUGGGGAGCGAACAGG